AGCGAACGUUUGCGGCGGGCCUAACACAUGCAAGUCGAACGCACUAGCAAUAUUGAGUGGCGCACGGGUGCGUAACACGUGGGUAAUCAACCCUUCAGCUUGGGAUAACGACUUGAAAGGGUCGCUAAUACCGGAUACGGCGCGGGAGGCUUCGGCUUCUCACGAGAAAGCCUCGCAAGGGGCACUGAAGGACGAGCCUGCGGCCCAUCAGCUAGUUGGUGAGGUAAGAGCUCACCAAGGCGAAGACGGGUAGCUGGUCUGAGAGGAUGAUCAGCCACACUGGAACUGAGACACGGUCCAGACUCCUACGGGAGGCAGCAGUGGGGAAUAUUGCGCAAUGGGCGAAAGCCUGACGCAGCCACGCCGCGUGAGCGAUGAAGGCCUCGGGUCGUAAAGCUCUGUGGGGAGAGACGAAGAAAGCCCGUGAAGAGCGGGCCUUGACGGUAUCUCCUUAGCAAGCACCGGCUAACUCCGUGCCAGCAGCCGCGGUAA
RNAcentral lists this ribosomal RNA (492 nucleotides) under uncultured bacterium. RNAcentral describes it as "bacterial SSU rRNA". It matches the Rfam family "Bacterial small subunit ribosomal RNA", at positions 29 to 523 of the family's 1533-position model. The record is from RNAcentral.